This 499-nucleotide ribosomal RNA is filed under the name uncultured bacterium. RNAcentral's name for it is "partial 16S ribosomal RNA". It matches the Rfam family "Bacterial small subunit ribosomal RNA", at positions 28 to 507 of the family's 1533-position model. The record is from RNAcentral.
GACGAACGCUGGCGGCGUGCUUAACACAUGCGAGUCGAACGGGCCCGCCCCUGUUUUUGGGGGUGGGUUGAGUGGCGAACGGGUGAGUAUCACGUGAGUAACCUGCCCCCUGCUCCUGGAUAACUGCUUGAAAGGGCGGCUAAUACGGGGUGUGCCGGCUGGUCCGCAUGGGCCUGGUCGGGAUAGUUUCAUCUUCGGGUGUUUCGGUGGGGGAUGGGCUCGCGGCCUAUCAGCUUGUUGGUGGGGUGAUGGCCCACCAAGGCGGUGACGGGUAGCCGGCCUGAGAGGGUGGGCGGCCACACUGGGACUGAGACACGGCCCAGACUCCUGCGGGAGGCAGCAGUGGGGGGUAUUGCACAAUGGGCGGAAGCCUGAUGCAGCGACGUCGCGUGAGGGAUGGAGGCCUUCGGGUUGUGAACCUCUUUCUCCGGUGGUGAAGGCCCUGUCCGUUGCGGCGGGGUUGACGGUAGCCGGGUAUGAAGCGCCGGCUAACUACGUG